This 963-nucleotide ribosomal RNA is filed under the name Lactiplantibacillus plantarum. RNAcentral describes it as "bacterial SSU rRNA". It matches the Rfam family "Bacterial small subunit ribosomal RNA", at positions 76 to 1026 of the family's 1533-position model. Lineage: Bacteria; Bacillati; Bacillota; Bacilli; Lactobacillales; Lactobacillaceae. The record is from RNAcentral.
GAUUUACAUUUGAGUGAGUGGCGAACUGGUGAGUAACACGUGGGAAACCUGCCCAGAAGCGGGGGAUAACACCUGGAAACAGAUGCUAAUACCGCAUAACAACUUGGACCGCAUGGUCCGAGCUUGAAAGAUGGCUUCGGCUAUCACUUUUGGAUGGUCCCGCGGCGUAUUAGCUAGAUGGUGGGGUAACGGCUCACCAUGGCAAUGAUACGUAGCCGACCUGAGAGGGUAAUCGGCCACAUUGGGACUGAGACACGGCCCAAACUCCUACGGGAGGCAGCAGUAGGGAAUCUUCCACAAUGGACGAAAGUCUGAUGGAGCAACGCCGCGUGAGUGAAGAAGGGUUUCGGCUCGUAAAACUCUGUUGUUAAAGAAGAACAUAUCUGAGAGUAACUGUUCAGGUAUUGACGGUAUUUAACCAGAAAGCCACGGCUAACUACGUGCCAGCAGCCGCGGUAAUACGUAGGUGGCAAGCGUUGUCCGGAUUUAUUGGGCGUAAAGCGAGCGCAGGCGGUUUUUUAAGUCUGAUGUGAAAGCCUUCGGCUCAACCGAAGAAGUGCAUCGGAAACUGGGAAACUUGAGUGCAGAAGAGGACAGUGGAACUCCAUGUGUAGCGGUGAAAUGCGUAGAUAUAUGGAAGAACACCAGUGGCGAAGGCGGCUGUCUGGUCUGUAACUGACGCUGAGGCUCGAAAGUAUGGGUAGCAAACAGGAUUAGAUACCCUGGUAGUCCAUACCGUAAACGAUGAAUGCUAAGUGUUGGAGGGUUUCCGCCCUUCAGUGCUGCAGCUAACGCAUUAAGCAUUCCGCCUGGGGAGUACGGCCGCAAGGCUGAAACUCAAAGGAAUUGACGGGGGCCCGCACAAGCGGUGGAGCAUGUGGUUUAAUUCGAAGCUACGCGAAGAACCUUACCAGGUCUUGACAUACUAUGCAAAUCUAAGAGAUUAGACGUUCCCUUCGGGGA